AGACAGUUGAAUUUAUCAGUUAGCAACAGCCAUAGACAAAAUUUCACACUUUUAAAAGUAGCUACUGACCCAGGGAGCUUUCCAAACUUAUGGCUGCUUGUAGGGCAGAAUUCCAGUGGGACAGCAUGUACCUCUUUUCUAAGGACAAGAUCAGGACCUGAGAACCAAACCACGUUGUCAUGUGAAGCUUGGCUGUGAAAAUACCUGUCUGCUGCUGUGCGAAAUUGCCAGCAGUUGGAACACCAACAGAUCAGUCUGUAGGAGCAAUGUAACACAGUGAGGAAGUGAGUUAAAGAUACCUGCUGUCUGAGGAAAAGAUGCUG
This 323-nucleotide long non-coding RNA is filed under the name Gallus gallus (chicken). RNAcentral describes it as "lncRNA (ENSGALG00010018614.1)". The record is from RNAcentral. Lineage: Eukaryota; Metazoa; Chordata; Aves; Galliformes; Phasianidae.